Molecule: long non-coding RNA, 1043 nt
Organism: Gadus macrocephalus (Pacific cod)
Lineage: Eukaryota; Metazoa; Chordata; Actinopteri; Gadiformes; Gadidae
Exons: 2
Source: RefSeq, a predicted model, not a curated record
UCUCAAAUGUGUUAUUCUGUAGGCUUCUCUUAGCGGUGCUGCAUUACAACUGUAAUGCGAACAGAGAGACCGCACGAAGAAGCGAUGGUUUGGAGAGGUAUAGCGUGCGAUAUCCACGUUUCAGAAAAGGUGCCUGGGUAGUGGUUCCCAUCAAAGAGAAGGCCUCAUACGGUUAUGCAACGUCAUUAAUCGAGGCCCUUCGGGAGAGCUACAUGGAUUCACCCAAGGCUCUUCAAGAGGUUAGCGCGAAUUUGUCAGCCUGUGCACCCGCCCCCAUCGCCAAAUCCUUCCAACAAAUUCCCAAGGAGGAGGCCGUCAGCCUCCAUCUAGCCCAGCAGUCACGCUACAAAAAAUUGAAUUAGAAUUUUUUUUUUCCCAGACAGGUCCAAUCAUUUAGUUGUGAGUAUGUAUGUAUGUAUAUAGAAAGUAUAUGUUAUUUUAUUUGGUGGUGGUUUUCUGUAUGCCGCAUGUUUUGUUUUCUCUUUGUGUGCUGUUUAUUGCUUGGGUUUUUUGAUUGUUCCAGGAAGUUUAUUAUAACCCUACAUUUUAACCCCUUGCGCUGACCCUAACAUCUCUGUCGACUAACAUUAUCUCUUGGUUAUUUAUGGCUGUAACCCAUUCAUUCCUUUAUCAGCAUCACCAUGGUUACCGCCUCACUGCAUGUCACAUGUUUUGUUUUUAUUGCUUGGUUUUUUUACUUAGUUGUGUGCACAAAUCAUUCCUUUACAGCUCCAUUUGCCCCAUAAUUCAUAAAAAAAAAAUUAAGAAUCCGAAAGUGACCUCUGUGUGCGCUUUUCUCUUGGAUCACUAUGCGUCUGCUCUAUGUGAUAUCAUUGCAUGUAUGUGUCCGUGAGUGAGUGAGAACCAUCAGCUGACCCUCAGGUACGAUCACACUAUUGCAAGAUUAUUUUAUGUUGGUUUCUUUGUGCCUAACCCUUUUUUUCUUGAGAUUUGUUUACUUUAUCAGGCCUUUCAACCUGUCCCUUUUUUCAGUAAUCGAUCCCCAUUACUAGGGAUGACCUAAUAAACUGUUUUUAUAUGAA